GUUAUAUAUCAAACAUAAUGAAAAUCUAUGCAAAUAAAUGUAGUGAAACCUAAAUUAGAACCAAGUACCAACCUUACUGCUAGCUCUGUGUUAAUAAAAAUAGGGAGCUCUUAUGUUGCUUAUCAGCUGGAUUGCUGUAUCUCAAAGGCUAAAGACAGACUUUCAAAAAACCUGAGCCUGAAUUGAUUCAAUCUUUGCAGGUUAGUCAAACCUGGCUAGGCUAAAUCAGUUUUGUAACCAGACAGACAUCCCAGAAAUAUAGUCACAUGCUUGCAGUGUCCCUUCCUUCCACAGCACUGAGCUGAGGGGGAGCAUGGCCAGAACUCAACAGGGUGCUCUGAUUAGCCCAGCAGGGAAUUGAUAACAGUGUUUAUCUCCCCAAACUCAGUGUUUAUCACCCCAUUAAGAAAACAACAGAGGGACUUUACGAGCUAUGAGUUGAUUACAAGUUGAUUCAUCAUGGACCAUAGCCAGCAUGUGUUCUGCUAGCCAAUAUACAGACAUCUCCUCAGCAAGGUAGGAAUUCCCCCCUCCCCACUACUUAACAGGGAGUGGUGAGGGGAGUGUGGAGCAGCUUGCAGUCUCUGGAGCUGCAGCCAGGGAACAGAAGGGAGGGGCCAGCCCUGCUGUGGAGCAGAGAGAGCCCCACCAAGCACAGAGAGCAUGCCAGGAUGCUGGGGGAGUCUGAUUUAUCUUAAACCAGGAAGGGGUCUGGUUGCAUAAACUGGUUUGAGCCAAAUCAAUUAUGAGUCCAUUGUUUGUUCUGUGAGUUAUAAACAAAGACAAAGUUUUUGCUUCCACUUCAACAAGAUGUACUAAGUCCCUUGGGAAGAGCUAUAUUCCACUGUCCCCUCAGUUUCCACAUCUUGAAUGCUCUUGUAAUAUCUGGAUUUGAAAUCUGGAUCUCUUGAAGAAACAAGGAAAUUUAUACAAGAUGUUGGGUUUUCCUCAAACAGCUCUGCGGUUUCCCAGAUUCCCAAACGAACCACCAGGCUCAUGAGGCUGUAACCAAAAAAGUGAAACAUCUCUGCCCCAUUAUUUAUUACAGAAUCACAACUGACUCAGAGGAACUAAGAGGAGAUGAACACACAUGGUGAAAGGCAAAAUGUUUUGUACUCUUUGAGGCAUGUCUGCCACUUUCGAUGUUGAGGUGGUGGGGGGUUAAUUAGAGAUUAAAUUGCAGCAUUAAGGUCAUUAAUUUUGAAUGCUACCUCCAAUGACAUCUUGAGGUUAGCUAAUAGGAAGUGUGAUAUUUUCCAUCUUAGUUACAUUUAGGGUAAUUCACAUCUGCAGAGCUUUUGUGAAUUGGCACUUAUUGUUAAAUUGCUGGUUUCCGUGUUAUGGGAACUUUAGACCAUCACAUCCAAAGUCUUGAUAUUUUAUGAAUUAAGAUGUAAAAGUCUGAAAGCCGUGAAGCACAUAUUAAAAAAUUAAAGGUUCUAAGUAGUUCUAAAAAUGUGUGAUUAAUUUAGUUGACAGCAUCCAGCAGUUAGGGUAUCAUUUUUGCAGAGAACAAAUUUUACUUCCAUAUUCUUUAGGUACUGAUUCAUUUGCAGAACACUGGUUAUGAGCUGCACUGUUUGCCAAACUCAUUUGAUUCUUCCAUCACACCUCAUUGGAGUAUAAUAGGCACAGACCUGUAUCGAUUAUUGUGAUUUAAAAGUGGGGGAGAUCUUUGCACAUCAGUUUGGAUAUAAAUUAUAAAUAACAUCUCUAAAGACUGAGAGUUACAGAAACAGCAUUCUUCUGAGACAUCCACAUGUAACGCUGUUUUUCUAGAGGUUAUUAACUUUAUGAUUGCAAUAGUGAUGUACUUGACCCACAGCAAUGAUCACUGUCCAUAAAAUCUUGCAGACUGGACUCAAUCAACUGCCUUUUCCAGUAAUGUUCAUUAGCACUGACCACCAAAGGUCACUCUAAUAAACAGAGGGUCAACACUCACAACAGCAGUAUACAUUCAUUGGUGAAACAGUAUUAUCUUCUCUCUGUUUUCCUCACUAACAUAGAGAUCUGACGCUGUAUAGGUAGCUCAUGUAGGUGUUACAUACAAAUUCCAUGUGUGUAGGGAUACAGAAGCUGAUAUGACAUUUAUUUGCACAAAUUAAGAGACAUCUCUCUAAUGCAGAAUAGUGAGUGAAUUAUCAGACAUCUCAUCGUGAGUGGAUAAGUAGCAGAUCAGACCCAAACACUCAUGUAGCCUAAAUAUACAUUUUUCUUCAAUUUUUUUAACAGAAAACUUUAUAGAGUUAUUUUUGGUUAUAUUAAGAAUGACAGUGUCACAAAUAUGAACAGAGAUACUUUUAAACCCCCUCAAGGUCUUGACUGUACAAUUAGUAUUGUUAUGUUGUAGUAUUUGCAUUAUGGUAGUACCAAGAGAUCCUAGUGCUAUUGUGCUAGGUACUGGAUAAGGGUAAAGACAUUUCCUUUCAAUGCAAGUUACCAAGUAAGCCAACAUCCACAUCAACCUGCUGCUCACUUUUAUAGCUUAAUAGCCCCUUGAAGUACUUUAAAAGUUACAUCUGUCAUACCCCCUCACACAGUUUCCUCAGUCCCCCAAUAAAUUCCACUAUCUUUUUUUAAGUCUCCUCUCAGCUAAAUGGAGUUGGCAUAAUUGUACUUUUAAAGUUUGCUGUGUGUUGUUUUACAAAAAACUGAAGUCAGAAUUAAUAUUGUGAGAGAGUUGUAAGGAACUGGAUGUGUGCAGUUUGGUUGAUUGUAGGUAUGGAAUGAAAAAGAAGUAUGUUGUGGUUCUAAGAAGAAUGUAAAUGCUUCCAGGCAUUGUAGAGUUGCUGCACAGGGGUCCAGUUUGAAAACAGAGCUAGGACUACAGAGAAGUUUCCCUCUUCCUAUCCAGCUUCCUCCAUUUCUCCUAGUUUCCUACUGCAUUUUAAACAUUAAGCUGUUGUUUACGCUUAGUAAAGCUGAUAUUUAGUAAUGUAAUUUCUAUUUGCCAUCAAUAAAAAUAGAGAUUAAAAAUGAACAGUGGGUUAGGAAAUGAAUGGAGUCCAUCCAUAAAGGACCUUGAUUAUGUGCUAGAUUCAAAAACAAACUCAAGUGCCACAAGGUUGAGCUUUGCAGUUCCUAACUCAGUGAUUCCCAAAGGGUGUGCUGGGGCACACUGAUGUGCCACAAGAGCAGCAGAAGUGUGCUGCAAGAUCAUCCUGUGUGAGGUGGUAAAUUCUCUCCUCCCCUGCCCAGCACCCACACCUGGCCCAACUACUCCAAUGGCACCUGCUCUUCUGGAAAUUGCCAUCACUGCUACUGCCUUCCCCUGUCCUUCCCCACCCCCAAGUAGCUCCUCUGCCAGCCCCUACAUGCUUCCAGUAGUGCAGUGUACUGUGAGCAGGCAGACGCGCAGGCAGAGCUAUGCUUUGCAGCUUGGUGUAUACCCUCUACUCCUCCCAUUCUCUCCCAGGGCUAACAGGAGGGACCACAGGGGUGUCUUCCAGUAUGUGUGACCCUGCAAGAGCAGCCUCAGCAGCAGGAGCUGUUCUUGCCCCUGAAGUACAGACCAGGGGCUGGGAGGGGCAGACAAUGGAAGACUGCCUUGGCACAGCCCAGCAAAGUCCUGCCCCCAGCUAGAGCAGUGAUUCUCAACUUUUUUUAUCCUCAAUGCAAGAUCUGAUUUGGCUCAGUGACUGCAGCUAGG
Alligator mississippiensis (American alligator) is the source of this 3649-nucleotide long non-coding RNA. RefSeq lists it as uncharacterized. The record is from RefSeq and is a predicted model, not a curated record. The transcript is spliced from 3 exons. NCBI's taxonomy places the organism in Eukaryota, Metazoa, Chordata, Crocodylia, Alligatoridae.